Molecule: long non-coding RNA, 879 nt
Organism: Acinonyx jubatus (cheetah)
Lineage: Eukaryota; Metazoa; Chordata; Mammalia; Carnivora; Felidae
Exons: 3
Source: RefSeq, a predicted model, not a curated record
UCAAACUCAUGAACUGUGAGAUCACAACCGGAGCCGAGAUCACGAGUAGGAUGCUUAACCAACUUAGCCACCAAGGCACCCUUUCUUUUUCUUUUUCUUUUUUUUUCUUUUUCUUUUUCUUUUUCUUUUUCUUCUUCUUCUUCUUCUUCUUCUUCUUCUUUCUUUUUCUUUUUCUUUUCUUUUUUAAAUCCAUAAGAGUGUAUUUGUUUUGUUUUGUUUUUGAGAGUUGCCAACUUUUUAUUUUCCAUGAACAGACAAAAACCAAAUCCGCUGUCAUAUACAACCUCCUCCUAAGAAGGUCACCUUAACAACAAAAGUGUAGGAGGGAAGUCAUCUCAGAACAGCAGAUUUAUUGCUCCCAGACAGGACAGCAUUAUUUACAAUAGCCAAGAUAUGGAAUCCAUCAAUGGAAGUGCCCAUCGAUAGAUGAAUAAAGAAGGCAUGAUACAUCCACACACUGGAAUAUUACUCAGCCAUAAAAAAGAAUGAGAUCAAGAUGGAAACAGGGAAGAUGCUCAGAACAAGGAGAGCAGCAAAGCCACUCUCACAGCUGUUCUUGGGAAGGGAUUGUCAACUUCUUGGUACCUGGUGGCUGUGGCUUCCAAAAGCCUCAAGGCUUUAGCUGACUAAGGUGGGAAAAUGUGGCACUGCAACAAGCCAGUGCCCCUUCCCCCAAACAAAUAAAGCAAACUUGUGGGAUGUAUUUCUUCCACAUGGCAUCUGUGUCCAGUGUUUAAUUGUUCCAGACAGCACCUGCUUAUAAAUUAGAACGUAGAAGCUAGAGAAGGCUGUGCUGGAUAAUUUUUAUUGAUCUAAGGUUCGGGAUCUUGAUUUUCUCAGCCAUCAUGUGAACAACUAUGUUAUAUAAUCUCUAGGGUG